GUGGUCUAACUGGUUAGAGCGUCCGCCUCGAACGCGGGAUGUCGCUGGUUUGAACCCCAGCCAAGUCA
Potamilus streckersoni is the source of this 68-nucleotide non-coding RNA. Lineage: Eukaryota; Metazoa; Mollusca; Bivalvia; Unionida; Unionidae. The record is from the annotation of a GenBank genome assembly.